CGGAGCGUAGCGCAGCCUGGUAGCGCAUCACACUGGGGGUGUGGAGGUCGCUGGUUCAAAUCCAGUCGCUCCGACCA
Molecule: transfer RNA, 77 nt
Filed under: Alphaproteobacteria bacterium
Lineage: Bacteria; Pseudomonadati; Pseudomonadota; Alphaproteobacteria
Description: tRNA-Pro
Rfam family: tRNA
About the family: Transfer RNA (tRNA) molecules are approximately 80 nucleotides in length. Their secondary structure includes four short double-helical elements and three loops (D, anti-codon, and T loops).
Source: RNAcentral